GCCAACUUCAGGUCUCCUUCAAGUUUCCUCUUAGCUCUCUCGAGGUCCAUGCGCAGCUUCUUCUCUUGCUCCAGGGACCCUUCCAGAUCGUCUACUUGCUGCUCCAGCUUGGUUUUAGCUUUGGUCAGCGUAUUGACUUUGUCCUCUUCAGCCUGCAGGUCAUCCAGUGUCUGCUGAUGGGCCUCUUGGAGGGCUUUCUUCUCUUUUGUCAGCUUGGCAAUGUUCUCGUCCAAGGCUGCCAUCUCCUCUGUGAGGUUUUUCACCUUGUUUUCAGUGGCAUGCUUUUCCUUCUCAACUUUGGCCAGUGUUAACUCCAGGUCAUC
Molecule: long non-coding RNA, 323 nt
Filed under: Gallus gallus (chicken)
Lineage: Eukaryota; Metazoa; Chordata; Aves; Galliformes; Phasianidae
Source: RNAcentral